This is a long non-coding RNA of Oncorhynchus keta (chum salmon), 786 nucleotides long. RefSeq lists it as uncharacterized. The transcript has 2 exons. Lineage: Eukaryota; Metazoa; Chordata; Actinopteri; Salmoniformes; Salmonidae. The record is from RefSeq and is a predicted model, not a curated record.
GACCAGACGUCCCUGUUUUCCGGGGACAGUCCCCAUUAUUGGUGGCGUUGUGCUUGUUUUGUCCAGCAGAGGGGGCUGCUCUCUAUAGCAGCUUCAUUCACUCUUCUUCUACUAACUACAUGCUCGCGAUAGUUUUAGAGAAAACUGCUGUGGAAAACUUUGCCAGAAGCUAGCAAGUGUCAAGUGAAUCUAUAACAUCACCACAAACCUCUUUUCAAGCCAGGCCGGUGGUAGCUGGUCCCAUGCAGGAAGGUGAGGUUCCGGAGGUUCCUCCGCCCCAUCUGGACAUCGAGGGGUCCCCGGCGUACACGAUAUGAGCUAUUCUGGACUCGAGACGCCGGGUGAGGGGCUUGCAGUACCUCGUUGACUGGGAGGGGUACGGUCCGGAGGAGAGGUGCUGGGUUCCGGUGAGGGAUAUUCUAGAUCCAUCUAUGUUGAGAGAGUUCCAUCGCCUCCGUCCGGAUCGCCUGGCACCUCGGCCCCCCUGGUCGUCCCCGAGGCCUUACCGAAGUCGCCGGUCUACUAGCUAUCACCGAUCCAUGUUCUGUAUUCCUUUGGUUUUGUCUGAUUGGUUUCACCUGUUUCUUGUUUGGUUGUUAGGGUGGUUAUAUAUAUAGUUUGUUCAGCCCGCUUCUGUUUCGUGCGGGCUUGUUCGUCUGUUCUGUGUUUGAGUGUAUUUUGUUUGUAUUUUGGGUUUCGUGCUAUCCGUUGAUAUUUCUGAUAAUUUGUUUUCCUACUUUUGUUCAUGUUAUUUCUCCUGGACAUUAAAGCGUGUUUUUUCCCACA